RNAcentral lists this ribosomal RNA (746 nucleotides) under uncultured Oribacterium sp. Its description in RNAcentral is "bacterial SSU rRNA". It matches the Rfam family "Bacterial small subunit ribosomal RNA", at positions 28 to 776 of the family's 1533-position model. The record is from RNAcentral. Lineage: Bacteria; Bacillati; Bacillota; Clostridia; Lachnospirales; Lachnospiraceae.
GAUGAACGCUGGCGGCGUGCCUAACACAUGCAAGUCGAACGGGAUGCGUAUCGGAAAGCUUCGGCCGGAAGAUACGUUAUCUAGUGGCGGACGGGUGAGUAACACGUGGGUAACCUGCCUUAUGGAGGGGGAUAACAGAGAGAAAUCACUGCUAAUACCGCAUAAGCACACAGUACCGCAUGGUACAGGGUGAAAAGAUUUAUCACCAUAAGAUGGACCCGCGUCUGAUUAGCCAGUUGGCAGGGUAAAAGCCUACCAAAGCAACGAUCAGUAGCCGAUCUGAGAGGAUGACCGGCCACAUUGGGACUGAGACACGGCCCAAACUCCUACGGGAGGCAGCAGUGGGGAAUAUUGCACAAUGGGGGAAACCCUGAUGCAGCGACGCCGCGUGAGUGAAGAAGUAUUUCGGUAUGUAAAGCUCUAUCAGCAGGGAAGAUAAUGACAGUACCUGACUAAGAAGCCCCGGCUAACUACGUGCCAGCAGCCGCGGUAAUACGUAGGGGGCAAGCGUUAUCCGGAUUUACUGGGUGUAAAGGGAGCGUAGACGGAGUGGCAAGUCUGAAGUGAAAACCCUGGGCUUAACCUGGGGACUGCUUUGGAAACUGUUAAUCUAGAGUGUUGGAGAGGUAAGUGGAAUUCCUGGUGUAGUGGUGAAAUGCGUAGAUAUCAGGAAGAACACCGGAGGCGAAGGCGGCUUACUGGACAAUAACUGACGUUGAGGCUCGAAAGCGUGGGGAUCAAACAGG